UAGCUCAGUUGGUAGAGUGCUUGCCUCACAUGCACAAGGACCUGGGUUCAAUUCCUAG
This 58-nucleotide transfer RNA is filed under the name Ictidomys tridecemlineatus (thirteen-lined ground squirrel). RNAcentral describes it as "Spermophilus tridecemlineatus (thirteen-lined ground squirrel) tRNA". It matches the Rfam family "tRNA", at positions 8 to 63 of the family's 71-position model. Rfam says of the family: Transfer RNA (tRNA) molecules are approximately 80 nucleotides in length. The record is from Rfam by way of RNAcentral. Lineage: Eukaryota; Metazoa; Chordata; Mammalia; Rodentia; Sciuridae. RNAcentral also lists the same sequence under 1 other name.